AGCAAGCACCGGCUAACUCCGUGCCAGCAGCCGCGGUAAUACGGGGGGUGCAAGCGUUACUCGGAAUCACUGGGCGUAAAGAGCAUGUAGGCUGAUUAGUAAGUUGGAAGUGAAAUCCUAUGGCUCAACCAUAGAACUGCUUCCAAAACUGCUUAUCUAGAGUAUGGGAGAGGUAGAUGGAAUUUCUGGUGUAGGGGUAAAAUCCGUAGAGAUCAGAAGGAAUACCGAUUGCGAAGGCGAUCUACUGGAACAUUACUGACGCUGAGAUGCGAAAGCGUGGGGAGCAAACAGGAUUAGAUACCCUGGUAGUCCACGCCCUAAACGAUGCACACUAGUUGUUGCUAUGCUAGACAUAGCAGUAAUGCAGUUAACACAGUAAGUGUGCCGCCUGGGGAGUACGGUCGCAAGAUUAAAACUCAAAGGAAUAGACGGGGACCCGCACAAGCGGUGGAGCAUGUGGUUUAAUUCGACGAUACGCGAAGAACCUUACCUGGCCUUGACUUAGUAAGAAUCUAAUAGAGAUAUAAGAGUGCUAGUUUACUAGAGCUUACAUACAGGUGCUGCACGGCUGUCGUCAGCUCGUGUCGUGAGAUGUUGGGUUAAGUCCCGCAACGAGCGCAACCCUCGUGUUUAGUUACUAACAGUUCGGCUGAGGACUCUAGACAGACUGCCUGGGUAACCAGGAGGAAGGUGAGGACGACGUCAAGUCAUCAUGGCCCUUACGGCCAGGGCUACACACGUGCUACAAUGGGGUAUACAAAGAGCCGCGAUACCGUGAGGUGGAGCAAAUCUCAUAAAAUAUCUCCCAGUUCGGAUUGAAGUCUGCAACUCGACUUCAUGA
RNAcentral lists this ribosomal RNA (841 nucleotides) under uncultured bacterium. RNAcentral describes it as "bacterial SSU rRNA". It matches the Rfam family "Bacterial small subunit ribosomal RNA", at positions 485 to 1323 of the family's 1533-position model. The record is from RNAcentral.